GAUGAACGCUGGCGGCGUGCCUAAUACAUGCAAGUCGAACGGAAGGACGAGGAGCUUGCGGUGUGGACGUGAGGGGCAGGCGUGUGAGUAACACGUGGAUCACCUACCUAUCAGACUGGGAUCACUUCGGGAAUGCGGCGAUAAUCGCAGAGAAUCUCUUGAUGCACGUGGUUCGAAGGUAAGAUACGGUGUUUGGGGCACGUAUAGCUGGAUCCGCGCUGCAUUAGAUAGUUGGUAAGGUAACGGCUUACCAAGGCAACGAGGCAUAGCCGACCUGACGGGGGGAUCGGCGACACUGGAGGUGAGACACGGUCCAGACUCCUGCGGGAGGCAGCAGUAGGGUAUCUUAGGCAAUAGGCGGAAGCCUGACGGAGUAACGCCGCGUGAGUGACGAAGGCCUUGGGAUCGUAAAAAUCUGUUAUUAGGGAAGAACAGAUGUGUAAGUAACCGUGGACAGCGUGACGGUAACUAAUCAGAAAGCCACGGCUAACUACGUG
Molecule: ribosomal RNA, 497 nt
Filed under: uncultured bacterium
Lineage: Bacteria
Description: partial 16S ribosomal RNA
Rfam family: Bacterial small subunit ribosomal RNA
Source: RNAcentral